GGUGGGGCUGGGGGCGGCCGCGCUGAGCAGCCUCCUCGCAGAACUGGGCAGUUUCACGCGGGAACUGCGGCGAGACCACGGGGCACGCCCUCGCCCCGAGCGCCCUCAGAGCCGGGCUGCUACCUGGGGAGAAACCCUAAACUGACCUGGCCCGUCAGCCUCCUGCUACAUUGAAGGAAAAGAAGCCUUCAAGAGUGAACAGAGCGGCAGAACCCGGGCUAGAACUCAGCUCACUGGCUUGCCACCAGGCUUCUUCCUCUUCAGCAAGUUUGCAGCCGGGAGGAGAGCCUACAGCACAACCGAAGAGAGGGAGGCCGUCUUGUCUCCAUGAUUGGAGAAACAUGAAGAUAAAAGCUUCCCUGAGAGGAUGAUGGAGCAAAAUGAUACAAGGGGCCCAGACUCCCUUCCUUCAGACUUCUUGUUAUGUGUGGGAAAUAAAAUGAUAUUACAAGGUUAA
Long non-coding RNA from Camelus dromedarius (Arabian camel), 457 nucleotides. RefSeq lists it as uncharacterized. The record is from RefSeq and is a predicted model, not a curated record. Lineage: Eukaryota; Metazoa; Chordata; Mammalia; Artiodactyla; Camelidae. The transcript is spliced from 2 exons.